This 449-nucleotide ribosomal RNA is filed under the name uncultured bacterium. RNAcentral's name for it is "bacterial SSU rRNA". It matches the Rfam family "Bacterial small subunit ribosomal RNA", at positions 335 to 774 of the family's 1533-position model. The record is from RNAcentral.
ACUCCUACGGGAGGCAGCAGUGGGGAAUAUUGGACAAUGGGCGAAAGACCUGAUCCAGCCAUGCCGCGUGUGUGAAGAAGGUCUUCGGAUUGUAAAGCACUUUAAGUUGGGAGGAAGGGCAGUUACCUAAUACGUGAUUGUUUGUACGUUACCGACAGAAUAAGCACCGGCUAACUCUGUGCCAGCAGCCGCGGUAAUACAGAGGGUGCAAGCGUUAAUCGGAAUUACUGGGCGUAAAGCGCGCGUAGGUGGUUAGUUAAGUUGGAUGUGAAAUCCCCGGGGCUCAACCUGGGAACUGCAUUCAAAACUGACUGACUAGAGUAUGGUAGAGGGUGGUGGAAUUUCCUGUGUAGCGGUGAAAUGCGUAGAUAUAGGAAGGAACACCAGUGGCGAAGGCGACCACCUGGACUGAUACUGACACUGAGGUGCGAAAGCGUGGGGAGCAAACA